Molecule: ribosomal RNA, 254 nt
Filed under: uncultured bacterium
Lineage: Bacteria
Description: partial 16S ribosomal RNA
Rfam family: Bacterial small subunit ribosomal RNA
Source: RNAcentral
UACAGAGGGUGCGAGCGUUGUCCGGAAUCACUGGGCGUAAAGGGCGCGUAGGUGGCGCGACAAGUCAGUGGUGAAAGUUCGACGCUCAACGUCGAAUCGGCCACUGAUACUGUUGGGCUUGAGCACUGUAGAGGCUAAUGGAAUUCCGGGUGUAGCGGUGGAAUGCGUAGAGAUCCGGAAGAACACCGGUGGCGAAGGCGGUUAGCUGGGCAGUUGCUGACACUGAGGCGCGACGAGCGUGGGGAGCAAACAGG